GUGCAUUUCGGGAAUUUCGGCAUCAUUCUGUUGGCUUAACUAGUAUUAUGCUGAUAUUCACGAGAUGAUUU
Molecule: microRNA precursor, 71 nt
Filed under: Capitella teleta
Lineage: Eukaryota; Metazoa; Annelida; Polychaeta; Capitellidae
Description: microRNA cte-mir-1993 precursor
Rfam family: mir-1993 microRNA precursor family
Source: miRBase by way of RNAcentral